AUGUAUGUGGCUUCACAUAAAUUCCCUUGUAAUCCCACCCUAAGAAGAAAAUGGGAAAGAGCAUUGAGAAGAGUUAAUUUUAAAGCAACUGAUUAUUGUAGGUUAUGUACUAAGCACUUCAAAGUUACAGAUUUUGAAACAAUUUCUAAGGUAACUGGUUUCCCACUUCAGCGGAAAUUUUUAAAGAAAUCUGCAGUACCAACACUGUUCUCUUGGAACAGUGCGUCAGGUCAAGACACUUCUGCACGAGCUGAACGUUUGAAUAGAAGAAAUGUUAAGAGUUGCCUCAUACCCAGCACUGUGACAGAAAAUUAUGAAUCUGUAGUUGACAACAACACUGCUAUGGCUCUGACUAAUGAUUCAACUGACCAAGGCUACGCUCAUGAGGUUGAAAUUUCAAGUAUCAGUGAUGAAAAUAGUGAAAGGUAGUUCACUCUACAGUGUCAGUGUAAAUCAACCAACGCAAACAUCAACUUUUUGCAGAAUAUUUGUUCUUGAAAAUUUUAUGGUAGAUGAUAAGGCAAUCCAUUUCUAUAGUGGUUUAGACCUAGACCAGAGAAACUGACCUAAAAUAAAAAUCCAGUUUCUACCAACACAUACGGUGCCUUUCAAUGGAAUCACACCCAACCAAAAUUAACCCCAGAAAAUAUCUGAUUAUGGCUGAUAGCCGAUUGCAGAUGAACAAGAACACAAAAAAAAAAAAUAAUAAUGUUUGAGAAAAUUAUGAUAAUUUUAAAUUAGUGUUGAGUAUUUUAUGCCCUAUGGCAUACAGCGUAAAGUAUAAGGGAAGUCAAGUUAUCAAUAGAAAAAAAGCACGGGAAGUGUUGAAAUAGGCGGGCGCCAUUCUUUGGCUAAACUUUUUAAAGUUAAAUUAAUUUAAUAUUACAGGAUCAGUUAAGUUGUAAAGUGUAUAUAUUAGUAGUUAUUGUUGAUUGUUUAUAUUUUUAGUUUGUUUUCUUCACCUGGUACAAUUAGUACCUAUAAUUUUCUUCAUUUGGUAGUAAUUUCAUUGUAUUAUAUGUAGAUAGGAUUUUUCUUUUGGCGUCCAUGUUGCGAGCCCAAAGACCCUGGAGGGACAUUCCUCCAGGUGUCUCAUGUAGUCACAAUCGAUGCGUCGGGCAUGGAAACGGAAGAUACCAUUAUAGAUACAGACUGUUCGGAAAGCACGAAAUCCGUUAAAAGAAAGAGAAUCUCACUUAGAAACCAAAAGAAGAGAAGGAAUCACAGACCUACGGGUUUAUCAGAUUGCCAAAUUUCCCCUAAAAAUUUAAAAGACAAUGUUUUUGCUAAAGCGCUUGAGUCUGAUGAUAAAAGCACUGAAAUCCACCAUAAUGAGGCUGCUCACUCUAAUAAUAUUUCAAGUAACCCUCGCGCUGUUAGAUCGCUUUACUAGGCGUCAGACCCUGCGCCUUAUGUUGUCCAUGUCCAAAAAUCCUAAGAAACAAAUCAACCCAGAUCUAUUCACCCAGUACAAUUUGGAUUUUUCCUUAAAUAAAGUUUUAUUAAAAGCAUUGUAGAGGGAAGCAUCCAAAAAAUUGGAAGGAACCGAUUGUCUAUAGUCUAUACAAUUUGAAACAUUUCAGGAUGCUAACACAUUUUUAAACCACAAAUCUCUUGACCUUAAUAAAUACAAGGCAUUUAUUCCGGCCUUCACUAUCACCCGCAUAGGAAUAGUGACAGGUGUUCCAUGUGACUGGGAAGAGAAAGACAUUAUGGAAAAUAUUGAGCUUCCCCAGAAGUGUGAUAGCAUUUUGAAAGUUAGGAGAUUAAAUAGAAAAGUAUAUGACGGCUAGACCCCAAAGUUCAUUCCAAGAGAGACUGUAGUUUUAACCUUUGAUUGGAAAGUGUUACCUCCCAGGGUUUUUAUAUGUUUGAACUCCUUAUCUGUAGAGCUUUACAUUUACCCUACACUGCAAUGCUUUAAUUGCUGCCUUUUGGUCACACCAAAAUGCAAUGUAGAGGCACUCUAAGAAACACUCGAAGAACCAUUCAGGUAUAAACUGCAAGACUGAAAGAGAUGAGGCUGUGUGUAUCUUAUGUUCUGGUUACCAUUUCGCAACAGA
Molecule: long non-coding RNA, 2063 nt
Organism: Pieris napi
Lineage: Eukaryota; Metazoa; Arthropoda; Insecta; Lepidoptera; Pieridae
Exons: 2
Source: RefSeq, a predicted model, not a curated record